This 427-nucleotide ribosomal RNA is filed under the name uncultured bacterium. RNAcentral's name for it is "bacterial SSU rRNA". It matches the Rfam family "Bacterial small subunit ribosomal RNA", at positions 30 to 458 of the family's 1533-position model. The record is from RNAcentral.
AUUGAACGCUGGCGGCAUGCCUUACACAUGCAAGUCGAACGGUAACAGGGAGCUUGCUCCGCUGACGAGUGGCGAACGGGUGAGUAAUAUAUCGGAACGUGCCCUAGAGUGGGGGAUAACUAGUCGAAAGAUUAGCUAAUACCGCAUACGAUCUAAGGAUGAAAGUGGGGGAUCGCAAGACCUCAUGCUCGUGGAGCGGCCGAUAUCUGAUUAGCUAGUUGGUAGGGUAAAGCCUACCAAGGCAUCGAUCAGUAGCUGGUCUGAGAGGACGACCAGCCACACUGGGACUGAGACACGGCCCAGACUCCUACGGGAGGCAGCAGUGGGGAAUUUUGGACAAUGGGCGCAAGCCUGAUCCAGCAAUGCCGCGUGAGUGAAGAAGGCCUCGGUUGUAAGUACUCUUUGUUCUAGGGAAGAAACGGGUUAA